Molecule: microRNA precursor, 108 nt
Filed under: Microtus ochrogaster (prairie vole)
Lineage: Eukaryota; Metazoa; Chordata; Mammalia; Rodentia; Cricetidae
Description: miRNA (ENSMOCG00000009479.1)
Source: RNAcentral
UUUGAUUGUUUAGUUUUUGAGAUAAGUUCUCACUAAUAGCGCUAGUUGGCUUGGAACUUGCUAUUUAGACUGAACUGUCCUCAAACUCAUGGAGAUUUUUCCUGUCUC